AUUAGUGGCGAACGGGUGAGUAACACGUGAGUAACCUGCCCUUGACUCUGGGAUAAGCCUGGGAAACUGGGUCUAAUACCGGAUACGACCAUCUGGCGCAUGUCAUGGUGGUGGAAAGCUUUUGUGGUUUUGGAUGGACUCGCGGCCUAUCAGCUUGUUGGUGGGGUAAUGGCCUACCAAGGCGACGACGGGUAGCCGGCCUGAGAGGGUGACCGGCCACACUGGGACUGAGACACGGCCCAGACUCCUACGGGAGGCAGCAGUGGGGAAUAUUGCACAAUGGGCGCAAGCCUGAUGCAGCGACGCCGCGUGAGGGAUGACGGCCUUCGGGUUGUAAACCUCUUUCAGUAGGGAAGAAGCGAAAGUGACGGUACCUGCAGAAGAAGCGCCGGCUAACUACGUGCCAGCAGCCGCGGUAAUACGUAGGGCGCAAGCGUUAUCCGGAAUUAUUGGGCGUAAAGAGCUCGUAGGCGGUUUGUCGCGUCUGCUGUGAAAGACCGGGGCUCAACUCCGGUUCUGCAGUGGGUACGGGCAGACUAGAGUGCAGUAGGGGAGACUGGAAUUCCUGGUGUAGCGGUGAAAUGCGCAGAUAUCAGGAGGAACACCGAUGGCGAAGGCAGGUCUCUGGGCUGUAACUGACGCUGAGGAGCGAAAGCAUGGGGAGCGAACAGGAUUAGAUACCCUGGUAGUCCAUGCCGUAAACGUUGGGCACUAGGUGUGGGGGACAUUCCACGUUUUCCGCGCCGUAGCUAACGCAUUAAGUGCCCCGCCUGGGGAGUACGGCCGCAAGGCUAAAACUCAAAGGAAUUGACGGGGGCCCGCACAAGCGGCGGAGCAUGCGGAUUAAUUCGAUGCAACGCGAAGAACCUUACCAAGGCUUGACAUGAACCGGAAAGACCUGGAAACAGGUGCCCCGCUUGCGGUCGGUUUACAGGUGGUGCAUGGUUGUCGUCAGCUCGUGUCGUGAGAUGUUGGGUUAAGUCCCGCAACGAGCGCAACCCUCGUUCUAUGUUGCCAGCGCGUUAUGGCGGGGACUCAUAGGAGACUGCCGGGGUCAACUCGGAGGAAGGUGGGGACGACGUCAAAUCAUCAUGCCCCUUAUGUCUUGGGCUUCACGCAUGCUACAAUGGCCGGUACAAAGGGUUGCGAUACUGUGAGGUGGAGCUAAUCCCAAAAAGCCGGUCUCAGUUCGGAUUGGGGUCUGCAACUCGACCCCAUGAAGUCGGAGUCGCUAGUAAUCGCAGAUCAGCAACGCUGCGGUGAAUACGUUCCCGGGCCUUGUACACACCGCCCGUCAAGUCACGAAAGUUGGUAACACCCGG
RNAcentral lists this ribosomal RNA (1322 nucleotides) under Paenarthrobacter nitroguajacolicus. RNAcentral describes it as "bacterial SSU rRNA". It matches the Rfam family "Bacterial small subunit ribosomal RNA", at positions 91 to 1424 of the family's 1533-position model. The record is from RNAcentral. Lineage: Bacteria; Bacillati; Actinomycetota; Actinomycetes; Micrococcales; Micrococcaceae.